GGCGGUUCUCGGGUGAUGCUCCCCGGAAUCGGGUUCCCUUCUCUCUGGUUCCAGGGUGCGUCACCCGAGAAUCACU
Molecule: non-coding RNA, 76 nt
Organism: Myotis lucifugus (little brown bat)
Lineage: Eukaryota; Metazoa; Chordata; Mammalia; Chiroptera; Vespertilionidae
Source: Rfam